This 64-nucleotide transfer RNA is filed under the name Oomorphoides metallicus. RNAcentral describes it as "tRNA-Arg". The record is from RNAcentral. Lineage: Eukaryota; Metazoa; Arthropoda; Insecta; Coleoptera; Chrysomelidae.
AAGUAUAAAGCAACAUUAUGCAUUUAGUUUCGACCUAAAAAUUUGAUUACAAUAUCUAUAUUUA